RNAcentral lists this ribosomal RNA (887 nucleotides) under uncultured archaeon. Its description in RNAcentral is "bacterial SSU rRNA". It matches the Rfam family "Archaeal small subunit ribosomal RNA", at positions 21 to 903 of the family's 1478-position model. The record is from RNAcentral.
AGUCACUGCUAUUGGGUCCGGCUAAGCCAUGCGAGCGGAGGCGCGGUCGAAAGAUCGUGGCCCCGCACACGGCUCAGUAACACGUAGUCAACCUACCCUUGGGACGGGAACAACCUCGGGAAACUGAGGCUAAUUCCCGAUAGGCGAGGGACGCUGGGAUGCUUCCUCGCCCAAAGCUCCGGCGCCCAGGGAUGGGACUGCGGUCUAUCAGGCUGUUGGUGGUGUAACGGACCACCAAACCUACGACGGGUACAGGCGAUGGGAGUCGGAGCCUGGAGAUGGGGACUGAGACAAGGCCCCAGGCCCUACGGGGCGCAGCAGGCGCGAAAACUCCGCAAUGCGCGUAAGCGUGACGGGGGGACCCCAAGUGCCGUUGGUCUUUUGAUCGACGGCUUUUAGGAAGUCUAUGAAGCUUCCAGAAUAAGGGCUGGGUAAGACUGGUGCCAGCCGCCGCGGUAACACCAGCAGCCCAAGUGGUGGCCACGAUUAUUGGGCCUAAAGCGCUCGUAGCCGGGUCAGCAAGUCCCUUGUGAAAUCGGGCCGCCUAACGGUUCGGCGUGCAAGGGAUACUGUUGGUCUUGAGGCCGGGAGAGGUCGGAGGUACUCCUGGGGUAGCGGUGAAAUGCUCUAAUCCUGGGGGGACCACCAGUGGCGAAGGCGUCCGACCAGAACGGACCUGACGGUGAGGGGCGAAGGCUAGGGGAGCGAACGGGAUUAGAUACCCCGGUAGUCCUAGCUGUAAAGCAUGCGGGCCAGGUGUCUAGCGCUCCUCGAGGGCGCUAGGUGCCGGAGGGAAGCCGUUAAGCCCGCCGCCUGGGAAGUACGGCCGCAAGGUUGAAACUUAAGAAAUUGGCGGGGAGCACCACAAGAGGUGGGACCUGCGGUUC